Molecule: ribosomal RNA, 833 nt
Filed under: Entrophospora claroidea
Lineage: Eukaryota; Fungi; Glomeromycota; Glomeromycetes; Entrophosporales; Entrophosporaceae
Description: partial 28S ribosomal RNA
Rfam family: Eukaryotic large subunit ribosomal RNA
Source: RNAcentral
AAGUGCUUGGUCGAGAUUGUAAGAUACAUUUAAACAAUGACCUCAAAUCAGGCAAGAAUACCCGCUGAAUUAAGCAUAUCAAUAAGCGGAGGAAAAGAAACUAACAAGGAUUCCCCUAGUAACGGCGAGUGAAGAGGGAAGAGCUCAAAUUUUAAAUCUGCCUUGUUUCAAGGUCGAGUUGUAAUUUGAAGAAGCGUUUUCUUGGGCACGCGACCGGUAGAAGUUCUUUGGAACAGGACAUCAUAGAGGGUGACAAUCCCGUCUGCGACCGGUCGUGCGUUCAUCUACGAUACGCUUUCAAAGAGUCGAGUUGUUUGGGAUUGCAGCUCCAAAUGGGUGGUAAACAUCACCUAAGGCUAAAUAUUGGCGAGAGACCGAUAGCGAACAAGUACCGUGAGGGAAAGAUGAAAAGAACUUUGAAAAGAGAGUUAAACAGUACGUGAAAUUGUUGAAAGGGAAACGAUUGAAGUCAGUCGUGCUGGCGCGAAAUCAACCCUCUCGUCGAGAGGUCACAUGGCGUGGCGAGCCUCAAAACCGUCACGAAGCGUGAACUCUUGGCGAAAAGGAGCACUUUCGUGUCCGCUGGUUAACAUCAAUUUCGAACGUCAUAAAAAGGCUGGAGGGAUGUGGCUCCUUCGGGAGUGUUAUAACCUUUAGCGGAAUGUGGUGGUCGGGAUUGAGGAUUGCAACGAAUACCUUUAGGGCUGUUCCACCUGGCUUCUCUUUGGUAUCCUGGUGACGACAGCUUGCUGACGUUGUUAGGAUUCGCCUUUGAACAGGCUAGAGUGUGAGCAAAUUCGUUAAGGAUGUUAACGUAAUGGCUUUAAACGACC